UGAGUAUUAAACCUAAAGACUCACACAUGCCAGGCAAUUGCUGUGCCACUGAGCUACAACCCCAGCCCCCUAGGGAUGCUGUUUUUUAACCUUUAUAAAUACACCAUGUUCCAGGGUUAGCUCUCUGGGACCUCCUGUGCUUGGCCCAGGUUCAAUCAACACCAACAUAAAUAAAUACAGCAUCUUCCUCUUGUAUCAUCGUUGGCGAUUAUACUGAGCAUUACCUCAUUUAAUCCACCCGACAAGCCUAUCAAGUGCAUUCUGCUAUCAUCCUGGUUUUUGGAUGUGUGUCACAGAGAAGUUCAGUAAUUUGCCAAAGGACACACAGCUUGUCUUCGGAGGAGGGGACCCAGACCUGGGCAGUCAGACGAGAACAUGCAGUGGCGGUUCUGCCAUCCCUUCUGCAGGAUGGUGACCUGGAGCACCUGGGGCAGUGGCUCAGGAUGCCAGGGCACAGGAGCCUCUUGCUCUUUCCUAGUCCCUCCACCAGAUCGUCUGGGGCAGCUCUUCCAAACCCUUUUCCCACUUUAAUCUGUGGCUCAUAAAGCCUUUUCCCAGGUGUGACCCACGGUGAAGUUUAAAGGAUUUCAUGUUGGGACAAAUCCCCCCAGAACGUGGAGCCAGGUAGGGAAUGCGUUCCGACAGAUCCAGUCUACAGGAGGCGGCCCGAGACUUCACGCAGGACUCUCCCCUCCUGGCCAAGCCCAGUUAUAAACACCAGUGUCUCCACGGCGAAGGGGACGAAGAAAUGGAGCCUGCGUCCAGCAGUGUGUGUGUGUGUGUGUGUGUGUGUGGUGCAUGUUGUGUGCAUGUGGUAUGUGCGAUGUGGGGGUGUGUGCUGUGUGUGCUGUGUGUGUGCUGUGUGAGGGUGUGUGUUCACAUGCACAUGCGUGAAUGUAAAGGUAGGAAAGUUUAAAGAGGUCAAAUGUCAACUUUCUUUUUCUUUUCCUUGGGCUCUUCUCUAAUCAUUCCGUUUUAAUGGCUCUUUUCUUUCAUCCUUCUUUGAAAGAGGAAGGAUUGAUUUGAGUGCCUUCUUCCUCCCCCUUCAUCCUUCCUGUCCCAACCCUGGGCAGGCUCUCUACUGGAGCAGGAUUUCUUCACCUCCUCUCUACUGAGGUUGGGGCUGGGUAGUUCUUGGUUGUGCAGAUCUGACCAGGGGGUUAUAGGUGUUUUGCAGGAUCCCUGGCCUCUGCCCACUGGAUACAGUGGGUUGCCACAUUGUACCUACCAAGAAUGACUUGCCACAGGAAUCCUGGGCGCUGCAGGGGCAAGUCACACCGCUGAGAAGCACUGUCAUGGCACCACGACACUUCCUUCCAUGUUUUGCCUUAUUUCGUGCCUGAACAUCGUCUCUGAGAUCUCGAGUCUUGAGACCGGAUAUGAGGUCUCCCCUGAUGGCCUCUCUGGUUUCCCAGCCCCUGGCCAUUUUAGCCCCCACCAGGAGACAGACAUCCCUCAUGCUCCCUGCUGACGCAAGGAGCAGACAACCUCGGGGUCCCAGUGUGGGAUGCUGGGGUGGGGACGGAGGCCUGUGCUGCCCUUGCUACCACCUGCUCUGCCGGCCUGGCGUGGCUCCUGCGGCCCUUCCUUGGCAAUUCAUGGGGACACAGGAGCCCCUCAGACGCCAUCCUAGCAGCUCCUCACAGAGAAGCAGCGUUGCGUCUCUGGUGGGAAUGACACACAGAGACACUCCUAAACCCAGCUGGACUUGGGGCCCGUGAGGCUCUGAUGUCAUUGCAGAAAAGACAAGUGAAGAACGCUAACUAGAAACCAGGCUCGGUGGUGCACACCUGCCAUCCCAGCCACCCGGGAGACUCAGGCAGGAGGAUGGAAAAUCUGAGGCCAACCUGGGCAACAUAGCAACACCCUGUCUCAAAAAAAAAAAAAAAUGCUGUCUAGAGAGAUUAGCUUUCUCUUUACUUCAUACACAUGUAUUUAUAUAUUUUUAUGUUUACAUAUUUUAUCUAUAUCUUAAUGAUGUAUGCAUUUAUGGUUAUGAAUAUGCAUAGUAGGAAAUUAUUGUUUCUAUUUUCUUAGAUCAAGUUAGAAAAAUUAGACAAGGUGGCCCGUGGCUGGCUUCUUGUUGACCUCCAACUGUGAAGUUCAAUGAUUCAAUAAUAGCAAUGCCUAACAUUUAUUGAGCACUUACUAUGUGCCUAAGUGUUCAAAGGCCUUGACUUGUGAUGUCUCAGCUCUUACAAGAGCUUUAAAAAGUGUUUAUCAUCACCAUCUGCAUUUUAUAGGACAAAAUAAGCUCAAAUUGGUCAAUUUACUUGACCAACCUCAUAUUUUUUUUUAUACAGUCAUUAAAAGAAGAUUCAAACUCAGGUGUUUCAUUCCCU
This 2342-nucleotide long non-coding RNA is filed under the name Marmota monax (woodchuck). Lineage: Eukaryota; Metazoa; Chordata; Mammalia; Rodentia; Sciuridae. The record is from RNAcentral.